GUGAGGAAUUUUCCGCAAUGGGCGAAAGCCUGACGGAGCAAUGCCGCGUGAAGGAUGAAGGCCUAUGGGUUGUAAACUUCUUUUCUCAGAAAAGAAUUAUGACGGUAUCUGAGGAAUAAGCAUCGGCUAACUCUGUGCCAGCAGCCGCGGUAAGACAGAGGAUGCAAGCGUUAUCCGGAAUGAUUGGGCGUAAAGCGUCUGUAGGUUGUUUAAAAAGUAUUCUGUCAAAGAUUAGGGCUUAACCCUAGAUAGGCAGAAUAAACUUUUAAGCUAGAGGUUGGUAGAGGGAGAGAGAAUUCCCGGUGGAGCGGUGAAAUGCGUAGAUAUCGGGAGGAACAGCAAAGGCGAAGGCACUCUGCUGGGCCAAUACUAACACUGAGAGACGAAAGCGAGGGGAGCAAAUGGGAUUAGAUACCCUAGUAGUCC
RNAcentral lists this ribosomal RNA (426 nucleotides) under uncultured bacterium. RNAcentral describes it as "partial 16S ribosomal RNA". It matches the Rfam family "Bacterial small subunit ribosomal RNA", at positions 354 to 796 of the family's 1533-position model. The record is from RNAcentral.